AUUGAACGCUGGCGGCAGGCCUAACACAUGCAAGUCGAGCGGCAGCGGGAAAGUAGCUUGCUACUUUUGCCGGCGAGCGGCGGACGGGUGAGUAAUGCCUGGGAAAUUGCCCGGUCGAGGGGGAUAACAGUUGGAAACGACUGCUAAUACCGCAUACGCCCUACGGGGGAAAGCAGGGGACCUUCGGGCCUUGCGCGAUUGGAUAUGCCCAGGUGGGAUUAGCUAGUUGGUGAGGUAAUGGCUCACCAAGGCGACGAUCCCUAGCUGGUCUGGGAGGAUGGUCAGGCACGCUGGAAAUGAAACACGGUCCAAACUCCUACGGGAGGAAGCAGUGGGGAAUAGUGCACAAUGGGGGAAACCAUGUUUCAGCCAUGCCGCGUGUGUGAAGAAGGCCUUCGGGUUGUAAAGCACUUUCAGCGAGGAGGAAAGGUCAGUAGCUAAUAGCUGCUGGCUGUGACGUUACUCGCAGAAGAAGCACCGGCUAACUCCGUGCCAGCCGCCGCAGUAA
RNAcentral lists this ribosomal RNA (508 nucleotides) under uncultured bacterium. RNAcentral's name for it is "partial 16S ribosomal RNA". It matches the Rfam family "Bacterial small subunit ribosomal RNA", at positions 29 to 523 of the family's 1533-position model. The record is from RNAcentral.